This 505-nucleotide ribosomal RNA is filed under the name uncultured bacterium. RNAcentral's name for it is "partial 16S ribosomal RNA". It matches the Rfam family "Bacterial small subunit ribosomal RNA", at positions 28 to 507 of the family's 1533-position model. The record is from RNAcentral.
GACGAACGCUGGCGGCGUGCCUAAUACAUGCAAGUCGAACGCACAGUUUAUACCGUAGCUUGCUACACCAUAGACUGUGAGUUGCGAACGGGUGAGUAACGCGUAGGUAACCUGCCUGGUAGCGGGGGAUAACUAUUGGAAACGAUAGCUAAUACCGCAUAAUAUUAAUUAUUGCAUGAUAAUUAAUUGAAAGGUGCAAUUGCACCACUACCAGAUGGACCUGCGUUGUAUUAGCUAGUAGGUGAGGUAACGGCUCACCUAGGCGACGAUACAUAGCCGACCUGAGAGGGGGAUCGGCCACACUGGGACUGAGACACGGCCCAGACUCCUACGGGAGGCAGCAGUAGGGAAUCUUCGGCAAUGGACGAAAGUCUGACCGAGCAACGCCGCGUGAGUGAAGAAGGUUGUCGGAUCGUAAAGCUCUGUUGUAAGAGAAGAACGGGUGUGAGAGUGGAAAGUUCACACUGUGACGGUAUCUUACCAGAAAGGGACGGCUAACUACGUG